GGGUCUUAAUAUGUUUUCUGUUGCGUUCUGAGAGGAGAUAUGUGGACUCAGAAUUAAAAGACAGGCUUGUGAGCUUAGAAAGGAGGGAAAAUGCUUCUGUUUUUACCUCUGCAAUCUGAUUUCUUUCUUUCUUGUAUUUGUUAGAGGCAGUGUUUGGGCUGUGGGUGUCUUUAGGAGGCAGUUAAUGUGGUUGUGAGGUUGUGUGUCCAUUUGUAGCUUUGAUGUGAGAAGAAGUGUGGUGUUGGGCACAUCCCAUCCUGCAUCCCCACCCCCAUCUGCUGCACGUUACUCUAUCUAUCUAUCUAUCUAUCUAUCUAUCUAUCUAUCUAUCUAUCUAUCUAUCUAUCUAUCUAUCAUAUGGUUUCAUUUUGCUCAUCAUCAAAGCCUUUCUCCAUGUGCAGAAAACACGAUGAAAACGCGUCAGUUCUUGGAGCUGAAUGCGCACAACUGUGUAUUUAUGAGCUCUGUUGAUGUUUACUCGAGUGCUGCUUCGGGCUCCCUGCAGCCCGAGCGCGGCCCAGGAGCAGAUAGGCCCCAGCCUGGGGCCCCAGGUACGGGCUGAAUGUGCGCCAGUGGGACAUCCGCGACUUGACAGCUGCAUGAAGCUUUUCAGCGUUGUAAUUUCAGAUAAUAUCCCGAGCGCUCACUCUUCUCGGCAAUUUGUAUAUGAAUAACCGAAUAAUUUUCCCUUUUGUUCCAUCUGUGCUACCUCAAAUCCAAAUAAAGAUGCCUUUUAGUAUUAAAAGUGGUAGAAAAUUACAGGUAAUUAUCUUUGACGGUAAAAACGCUGUAAUCAGCGGGCUACAUCAAAAAUUACCCUAAUUAUGCCUGCAUUUAUGAGAAUGGAGGGAAAAAAAGCCUCACUUGGAUAAAAACCCACAAAUUGUCCCAAAUAUCUCCUUCAUAUUGAACGCCACUGCAGCUGGCUGCUUUGUUCAACAUCGAUCCCGUGGAGCUUGGCAUUUAACGGCCUGCAUUAGGACGGAGAGAAGGGAGAAAACAUUUUGUCAAUACUUCUAAUAAUUGAGGGUGAAAUGACAAGAUAAGCUGGACCUGGAGCAAAUGUCUUUCGAGGUGAAUGUAGACAGCAGCGGUGGAGGUCCGUGUCCAGCCACCGGUCUCCCAUCUCGUCCCCUUCUCUCCUCUCCAUCUCCCUCUUCAUACCCACUCUACCCCUCUCUCCCUAACCCCACACCUCUCUCCCCCUCUCUUCCUCCCUUCUCCCCCCCCAAUAGGUACGCCUCCAUCCCCUCUUGGCAGCUCCAUCUCCUCCUCGCCUCCCCCUGUCUCUCCACCCUCUCCCUGGUUGGUUUCCACAGCUGUGGUGAGUGAGGGGCAGAUGACCGGAGAAUUGGCCCCUGGGAGAGCGCUGAGCCAUCCUGGUGCUAUUAGGCUCGUGGCUAAUAAUAGGUGUUUCAGACCGGGGGAAGAUCAAUCAGGGGGAAUCAUGGGGAAUGUUCAGAGCAGCGCUUUUUACACAUCGGCCCAGAUGGAUGAAAUUACACUUGUCAGUUUUUAGUUGCAUUACUCCCAAAUUGGUUGUCUACUCUUUUUUCUCUCUCUCUCUCCCUCUCCCUCCCUCUCUCUCUCUCUCUCUCUCUCUCUCUCUCGCUCUCCCUUCUCUCCUUUCUCUCUCUUUGCCCCCAUUCAUGUGUCAGUGGCCUGCUAAAAGGAUUCGGCGGUGAAAUCCGUGUCAUUUUUGUCUUUUCCCUGUUAUCCCUCAGCCUGCAACUCUUUUUCGCCCUGCAUAUAUGCACUUAGAAGAAAUCAGUUGAAGAUGUCGUCUUAUGGCUCGGACAAUUUCCAUGUUAAAGUGCCGAUGACGUUCUGUGUGUGUUCUGCAUGUGUGAUAAAACAACGUGAUUUAGUCAUUUUCAAACAUUCACUGCAGAAUCAAAUAAGCUGAUCAAUUUACAGAAUAUUAAUGUGCUAUAUUCAUAAUAUGGCAAUUAUUUCAAUGAUUUUUCAAGUCAAAAUGCCAAACAUUGACUGUUUUCUGCCUUUGGAAAGUGAGGAUUAUUUGUUUUUCUGUGUAAUAUCAUUGUAACUUUAAUGUACAGGAGUUUUGAACUGUUUUUGAUGUCACUUUUAUCUCAGAAAAAUGAAGAUGGACAUAUGUUUCGUUUCACUUUUGUCAUCAGAAAGUAUUCCAUCCUAUAGCUGUAACUAGUAUGAAACAAAGGUUUGAAAUUAUAACGCUUUUCCAAUAUUAGGAUUUACAGAGUUUAAACCAAAUGUGUAAAAUGCAGUAAUUAUAUUGUAAGUGCAGAAAAAUCCUGUAUAAUUACAUAUAAUUAAAUCUGCCAAUAGCAAAGGAAGCAUUCAGCCUGUACCUCACUGUUUGAAACUGAAUAAAAUUCACCACACAAUGUUCA
Acanthochromis polyacanthus (spiny chromis) is the source of this 2375-nucleotide long non-coding RNA. RefSeq lists it as uncharacterized. The transcript is spliced from 2 exons. Lineage: Eukaryota; Metazoa; Chordata; Actinopteri; Pomacentridae. The record is from RefSeq and is a predicted model, not a curated record.